GUAAAGCAGUGUGGUGUGGACGUAGAGAAGCGAGCAGGAGCAGCCAUUGGGACUGCGUUAACAUGCAUUCUAAUCGCUUUCUCGUUAAGCCGCGGAAGGGAGGGGUGACUAAUGAGUCUCGCCGAAAAAAAAAGCGCCUGUGGUUGACGGGGAUGGAGUCGCGUACCAUAAAAUUUACCUGAGAAUGGCUGCACCCGAUGACUUCUCGCUCAUGAGGAGGCCUGCUAAAUAAGGUGGUGAUCACUUCCGAAGGGAAUUCAUAAUGAGAAAACAUCAGUCCUAAAGCAGAUCUGAUGCCUUGAGGAUAAUCAUGGGUCACUUUGAGGAUUCUGGUGCCUGGUAUUUUCGUAGACCCCAAUGGUGCACCAAUGGAUCAUGGUGAAAUGUUCCAAAAAAUGGGAUGUUAAUCACUGGACAUGUGUCAGUUCCUCAGUUUUGGAGUAUAGGCACUUUCAACUUUCCACUGACUGAAUGUUUUUGCCACUUCUUCUGGAUACUCAACAGAAGAGCUACUGGUCCUACAGUGGAGAACAAUGGAGGAGGCGAGGGCUGUUUAAAAAAUCAGGCCUGUCUUGCCACUCCACCAUGGGGGAUAAGGCUCAAGAGCCCAAGGGGAAGUGUAUCGAUCCUGACCAAAGUGUAUUUUGGCAGCACUGUGGUUCGUGCUCAUGGCUGAUUGAGGAUCAGGCCUAGCCUGCAGGCCAUAAUGAAGAGAACUGAUGUAGGAUGUUAAACCACUGAUCACCUAUCAGUCCCAUAAUCUAGAGAA
This 769-nucleotide long non-coding RNA is filed under the name Danio rerio (zebrafish). RNAcentral's name for it is "lncRNA si:ch211-158e19.2 (ENSDARG00000097549.2)". The record is from RNAcentral. Lineage: Eukaryota; Metazoa; Chordata; Actinopteri; Cypriniformes; Danionidae.